GAAUCUUGGACAAUGGGGGAAACCCUGAUCCAGCCAUGCCGCGUGAGUGAUGAAGGCCUUCGGGUUGUAAAGCUCUUUCGCAAGGGAAGAUAAUGACGGUACCUUGAUAAGAAGCCCCGGCUAACCUCGUGCCAGCAGCCGCGGUAAUACGAGGGGGGCGAGCGUUGUUCGGAAUCACUGGGCGUAAAGCGCGCGUAGGCGGCCACGCAAGUCAGGGGUGAAAUCCCGGGGCUCAACCCUGGAAUUGCCUUUGAAACUGCAUGGCUAGAGUUCGGUAGAGGGUGGUAGAAUUCCUAGUGUAGAGGUGAAAUUCGUAGAUAUUAGGAGGAAUACCGGUGGCGAAGGCGGCCACCUGGGCCGAUACUGACGCUGAAGCGCGAAAGCGUGGGGAGCAAACAGG
Molecule: ribosomal RNA, 400 nt
Filed under: uncultured bacterium
Lineage: Bacteria
Description: bacterial SSU rRNA
Rfam family: Bacterial small subunit ribosomal RNA
Source: RNAcentral